GCUUUUCAUCAAUGAACUGUCACCCGCUGGGAGGAGAAAGAAAACUCCUUCUCCGCCUCGGAUUUCCUCGCUCUCCCAAUAUUUGCCCAUGUGCGUAGUAAUCGUAAGAGAAACACGAGAGAAGACUGAGUACCAGACGGGGUAAACACACUACUAGAAAGAAAAAAUAUAUAUAAAAAAAAAAAAACUGAACUGGCAAUUCAAUCAAUGCAUGGAAGAAGAGAAUUCCAAGAAGAGACCGCUGGACCUUGACUGGGACGUGAUAUUGGACUCAAAAGACGACGAACAACAGCAGAUACUGAUCGUUAAAGGGCCUACGCAACUGCCAAAACCCUCGCCAAUGAGCACCGAUCACUCGCCUAGGGAGGAUUGUGCUUCCAUGACCGAUCGCGAGCUUGAGGACGGUAUUAAGAGGCAGAAGCUCAAUAUUGCAAAUUUAAGCCCAAUUUUGCCUGACAAAGGUGAGAAACUUCGGGCGUUGCUUAAAACCUUAGAGGAUGAAUACCAACG
This 510-nucleotide unclassified non-coding RNA is filed under the name Hevea brasiliensis (rubber tree). Lineage: Eukaryota; Viridiplantae; Streptophyta; Magnoliopsida; Malpighiales; Euphorbiaceae. The record is from RNAcentral.